RNAcentral lists this ribosomal RNA (468 nucleotides) under uncultured bacterium. Its description in RNAcentral is "partial 16S ribosomal RNA". It matches the Rfam family "Bacterial small subunit ribosomal RNA", at positions 28 to 507 of the family's 1533-position model. The record is from RNAcentral.
GACGAACGCUGGCGGCGUGCUUAACACAUGCAAGUCGAACGGAAAGGCCCUGCUUUUGUGGGGUGCUCGAGUGGCGAACGGGUGAGUAACACGUGAGUAACCUGCCCUUGACUUUGGGAUAACUUCAGGAAACUGGGGCUAAUACCGGAUAGGAGCUCCUGCUGCAUGGUGGGGGUUGGAAAGUUUCGGCGGUUGGGGAUGGACUCGCGGCUUAUCAGCUUGUUGGUGGGGUAGUGGCUUACCAAGGCUUUGACGGGUAGCCGGCCUGAGAGGGUGACCGGCCACAUUGGGACUGAGAUACGGCCCAGACUCCUCCGGGAGGCAGCGGUGGGGAGUAUUGCACAAUGGGCGGAAGCGUGAUGCGCCAACGCCGCGUGCGGGAUGACGGCCUUCGGGUUGUAAACCGCUUUCGCCUGUGACGAAGCGUGAGUGACGGUAAUGGGUAAAGAAGCACCGGCUAACUACGUG